UAAUACGGAGGGGGCUAGCGUUGUUCGGAAUUACUGGGCGUAAAGCGCACGUAGGCGGCUUUGUAAGUUAGAGGUGAAAGCCCGGAGCUCAACUCCGGAAUUGCCUUUAAGACUGCAUCGCUUGAAUCCAGGAGAGGUGAGUGGAAUUCCGAGUGUAGAGGUGAAAUUCGUAGAUAUUCGGAAGAACACCAGUGGCGAAGGCGGCUCACUGGACUGGUAUUGACGCUGAGGUGCGAAAGCGUGGGGAGCAAACAGG
Molecule: ribosomal RNA, 256 nt
Filed under: uncultured prokaryote
Description: partial 16S ribosomal RNA
Rfam family: Bacterial small subunit ribosomal RNA
Source: RNAcentral